UUCCCGCUUCUAUCUUUUGGCUCGCUGUCUCCUUUUCCCGCUACUCAUUCCAGCCCUAAUCUUCCCACCAAAGAAAUCGACCAGCCAAUGAGUAGGCGACGACGAAGAUAGAGGCCAGAAGCUGUGUUCCAGACGGUGGUUUCGGGCGGCGCUUCAAACUGUGAAACCGGCCCUCGCUUUUUUGCGCCUGGCGCAUUUGAUAACUAUGGUUUGACUGAAUCCCAAACGGAAUUGAACGUUGGAGUUUGAUCUUGAUAAGGAGGACGGCGUGGACCAUUUUUUUUUGUGUGUUCUUGGACCGACCCGAAAUUCGUUCUGAUCCGGACCCGUUUCAACCAGAACUUAUGUCCAAGAUCUCUAUUUAUUUCUAUUAUUUCUAUUUGUUUAUUUCUGUUAUUUAUGGUUCCAAUAAUUAUUGGUUGUUUACUCUUGGUGAUCUAGUGAUUGGAAGAUCGGGAAGCUUUACAAAUAAGCCAAUUUGCAUCAUCUAGUCGAGACUUAUAAGACCAACAAGUCACUUUAAGCCAUACAUGUUUGAUAAUGGUGGCGGCGACGAAGGUGAUGACGAUGGUGUUGGCGUAGGUGACGAUGGUGUUGGCGAUGGGAGGCAAUUUAUACAAUGCAACGAAACCAGGUUUACAGACAAAACGGUAAAAAAAUGUGUGAAGGAUAUAUUUAACCAAUGUUAUGAUGGAGAUUGGGUCACAUUUAAAAAAGAUCCCACAAAACCCGGGAGAGCAAACCACAAAAAUGACUUGUGCCGUCGUACAGGCGGGUCAAUACGAUUUGAUCAAUAUCGUAUCAACUUGGACAAAGAAGAGGGUAAAACAGUUUGAUACAAGAAAGUAUUGUUACAGACCCACACCACUAAGAGGUGCAAAAAAAUGUUACAAGAUGGGGAGAUAAGUGAAAAUGAUUUUGAGUCGUUGGAGUUUGUUACCGGCCGUGCAAAGCGUUCAUAUCUUCAAAAAGUUUAGGCGGAACUAGAAAGAGAGCGUGAGGCCCGAUAAAGCAUAGAAGCCCGUUUCGAACUAUUUCAACAAGAGCGUGAAAAAUAGCGGGCCGACCAAGACGCAUGGCGAAAAAAUAUGGAAGAAAUGGUGAAAAACAUCGAAAAGAAGUAAACAAAGCUCUCGUCGUGUUAAGUAUUGGAAUGUUGGAUUAGUUUUGAAUCAAAAAACUUGCUCUUAAUUAGGAUUUUUUGUGUAUUUUGGAAUGUUUCGGAACUUUUGGAAUGUUUUAGAAUCUUGCUUGUUGCAAUUUAGAAUGUUUUAUAA
This is a long non-coding RNA of Helianthus annuus (common sunflower), 1277 nucleotides long. RefSeq lists it as uncharacterized. The record is from RefSeq and is a predicted model, not a curated record. NCBI's taxonomy places the organism in Eukaryota, Viridiplantae, Streptophyta, Magnoliopsida, Asterales, Asteraceae. The transcript is spliced from 7 exons.